This is a non-coding RNA of Heterocephalus glaber (naked mole-rat), 2241 nucleotides long. The record is from RefSeq and is a predicted model, not a curated record. NCBI's taxonomy places the organism in Eukaryota, Metazoa, Chordata, Mammalia, Rodentia, Bathyergidae.
UGGGACUGCCUCUCUGCCCUUCCAGGCGGACAGCGGUGCCGAACAGCGCAUGCGCCCCGCGGCCCUCGGCUCUGCACCGCUAGCGGGGGGUGGUAACGGUUCCCCCUACUACCUUCCAGAGUGCAGUGCGGAGGAAACAAGCCAGCGAAGGCGUGGAUGAAGCCCGGGGCGGGAGAAGUUCAGGCGCUUGUUCCGAGGCCCGCGGUGGGUGCCCGGUGUCGUCCUUCUUCCCCCUGCGAGCGAGCCGGGAGCCUUGUCACCCCGGCACUGUCCCGGCCGCCCACAGCAGCGAAUAUCUGGGGGCUUGUUAGAAAUGUGAGGGUUUGGCCCCAGCGAAGCCAGGCUGAAUCAGAAACUGAGCUCAGAAAGGGACGGGGCCCCAAGACCCGCCGGAAGACAGGAAAAUGCUUCUCAUCGUCCCCUGGUGGCCAGAGGGCGAACAACACCCAGCCUCCCGCUCGCCCAGAUGACGAAGCGGGGCUGGAAGGCGUCAGGACCGCACAGAACCAGGCUCACCCAGGCCAUGCUCAAGACUUGAACCGAGACCAGCCCGGAGCCAAACCCCCAAGUCCGUUUCCAUAGGGACCAGGCACAGCCAGCCCAUGACCUACCUCCUUGGGAAUCAGCCUCCAAAAUGCUGCUUCCAUCCCAGGGUUCCGGGGGGGCAGAGGCCCUCCCCUCGAGUUCAGCCCGGAUCCCACCAGUCAGCCUCUGUGGUCCCAGCCCCGUGGCCCCGCAUGCCUUGGGAACCCGGUACAAAUGCACAUUCUCGGGCCCACUGGGUUCCUGGCCACCUGUAGGUGUGAGAGGCCCUAGGUUAAGGGGUCCUGUGGGGAGAGGGGCAGAGCAGCCAGGCCCUCCCUGGCUGAGUGGGAAGAGCGUCCUUGUCCCCUGAGGGCCACAGGAGAGACCUGAGGAGUGAGGCGCCUGCCAGGGUGGCGCUCAGCCUUGGGCACAGCGUGCUUAGCCCUGCCCCCUGCCGCAAGAGCUUGUUCGUGCAGCUGGCUGGUAGCCUGGCCCCAGGAUAAGGUCACAGGCGAGGCCUCGGUGUCCCCCAGACCUGUGACCCGGAGGCCUGGGCCUCCACUUAGGAUCUGCAGUCAGGCGGGAUGGGGAUGGGGAAAGCAUGGGGCCCAGCUGCCUCUGCCCCGGGGUCCAGCGGAGGCGGGGCCGAGGGCACCCAGGUUGGGUCCUGGGAGCGUCUGGCUCCCGCGAGGCUCGGCACUGGGCUGUCACAGACCAUCCCAUUACUUCUCUUGGAGGAACCUGAACGGUUGUUGCCAGCCAAUGCUUCCCCUAAGCUGUACUCUCGCGUAACACCGUGAGUGUGAGGAUGUGCGUGUGCACGCGCGCGCGCCUGUGCUGAGGGUGGGGGACAGAGAUGUGCCAGUGCAUUCAGCGUAUCUGCAAAGCCGUGGGAGACGUACUUUGCCCCAACGCGCACACGCACACACACCCUCAAGGCCCCCUUGAAAUUCAAGUGGUCAGAAAUAGUUCAUAACGUCACCAGGAGAGGGCGUGCUUCCCCACUGUGGGGUGGAAGUGCCCCUGCUCCUGACUGCUGGCGGUUUUAGUGCUUAGGAACAGCCAGGUGUGCUUGUCAGCCAGAGUGAUUUCAGGAACACAAAGAACACACUGGCCUCACCCAGGCUCCUCCGAGGCCGUCUGGGGAUUCCCUGGCCCUAGGCCGGUUUCGAAGGCGAACACCCUGAGGAUGACCUGGAAGGGAGGCCGCUGCCUCUUUUGUGACCCUGAGGCCGAAGGAGUUAAGGUUUGAGAAGCUGCAAGGUGAAGUGAACGCAGGGGCGGGCAGAGGCACAGGGAGCAGAAACGGCGAAGCCAGGCCUCCCGAGCCGAGCCCCCGAGUGUCCCCGUCCUCUGUCCCGGAGAGGAAAAAGCCUGGGCCAGGCAGGGGGCCCUUCUGUCCCAGUGCUGCGGGCGGGAGCGGCCCGGUGUCUUGCCAUUGGUGUUCGCGAGCGGAAGCUAUCUUGGUAUCCCAGCUCCUAGCUCCGGGCCUGGCAAAGCUGCGGAGCUCGGCAGAUGUGUAGUCCGUGAGGUCUGAGCGUCCGUACGAGGGGACCGCUCCGCGCUCCGCAGGGCAGCCUCGCGUUUGUCCUAAUAGCGGUUCUGCAGCUCAUGCCUCCACGUUACCACACAAGUUGCUUUUGCGCGAUGCCCAGCGCUGCGCCCGCACGCAGGUGGACCCCGUGAGGCGGCUGUGUGUUGCUUGGCUAGUGGCUA